CAGAGUAAAGCCAAACCAGAGGCAGGCCUUUGUUAAUGGCCUUAUUGAGUCUAUCUGCUCUGA
Molecule: transfer RNA, 63 nt
Filed under: Gyge ovalis
Lineage: Eukaryota; Metazoa; Arthropoda; Malacostraca; Isopoda; Bopyridae
Description: tRNA-Asn
Source: RNAcentral